ACUCAAAGGAAUUGACGGGGGCCCGCACAAGCGGUGGAGCAUGUGGUUUAAUUCGACGCAACGCGCAGAACCUUACCAGCCCUUGACAUGGCCGAUCCAGCCCCGGAGACGGGGUGUCCCGCAAGGGGUCGGUCACAGGUGCUGCAUGGCUGUCGUCAGCUCGUGUCGUGAGAUGUUGGGUUAAGUCCCGCAACGAGCGCAACCCUUGCCUUCAGUUGCCAUCGGGUAGGGCCGGGCACUCUGAAGGAACUGCCGGUGACAAGCCGGAGGAAGGUGGGGAUGACGUCAAGUCCUCAUGGCCCUUACGGGCUGGGCUACACACGUGCUACAAUGGCGGUGACAAUGGGCAGCGAGGUCGCGAGGCCAAGCUAAUCCCUAAAAGCCGUCUCAGUUCGGAUCGCACUCUGCAACUCGGGUGCGUGAAGCUGGAAUCGCUAGUAAUCGCGGAUCAGCACGCCGCGGUGAAUACGUUCCCGGGCCUUGCACACACCGCCCGU
Molecule: ribosomal RNA, 497 nt
Filed under: uncultured bacterium
Lineage: Bacteria
Description: partial 16S ribosomal RNA
Rfam family: Bacterial small subunit ribosomal RNA
Source: RNAcentral